AGCAGCCGCGGUAAUUCCAGCUCCAAUAGCGUAUAUUAAAGUUGUUGCAGUUAAAAGCUCGUAGUUGAAUUUUGGGUCUGGCCGGGCGGUCCGCCCUCUGGGUGAGCACUGUUUCGACGUCGGAUCUAUCCUUCUGGUGAGUCGGCAUGUCCUUUAUUGGGUGCGUCGGGAACCGAGGACCAUUACCUUGAAAAAAUUAGAGUGUUCAAAGCAGGCGUAUGCUCGAAUACAUUAGCAUGGAAUAAUGAAAUAGGACGCGUGGUGCUAUUUUGUUGGUUUCUAGAACCGCCGUAAUGAUUAAUAGGGAUAGUUGGGGCAUGCAGUAUUCAAUUGUCAGAGGUGAAAUUCUUGGAUUUAUUGAAGACUAACUUCUGCGAAAGCAUUUGCCAAGGAUGUUUUCAUUAAUCAAGAACGAAAGUUAGGGGAUCGAAGACGAUCAGAUACCGUCGUAGUCUUAACCAUAAACUAUGCCGACUAGGAAUCGGGCGAUGUUAUUCUCAUGACUCGUCCGGCGCCUUAU
Molecule: ribosomal RNA, 520 nt
Filed under: uncultured Ambispora
Lineage: Eukaryota; Fungi; Glomeromycota; Glomeromycetes; Archaeosporales; Ambisporaceae
Description: SSU rRNA
Rfam family: Eukaryotic small subunit ribosomal RNA
Source: RNAcentral